AGCGUUCUCAGAUGCUUGCUACUCUUUUUAAGGAUGAAAGGUGCCAGCAACUUGCUGCCUAUGGAAUCCUCGAGAAAAUGUACCUAGAUAGGAUCAUCAGAGGAAAUCAACUUCAAGAAUUUGCUGCCAUGCUGAUGCCUCACCAGAAACCAACUACAGCUGAUGGUUCUAGCAUCUUGGACAGAGCUGUUAUUGAACACAGUUUAUUGUCUGCAAGCAAAUUAUAUAAUAAUAUUACCUUUGAGGAACUUGGAGCCCUUUUAGAGAUUCCUACAGCUAAGGCAGAAAAGAUAGCAUCGCAAAUGAUAACAGAAGGACGUAUGAAUGGAUUUAUUGAUCAGAUUGAUGGAAUAGUUCAUUUUGAAACACGAGAAGCCCUGCCAACAUGGGACAAACAGAUCCAAUCGCUUUGUUUCCAAGUGAAUAACCUUUUGGAGAAAAUCAGUCAGACAGCACCAGAAUGGACAGCACAAGCCAUGGAAGCCCAGAUGGCUCAGUGAAUCCUUGCAGACCUUCUGUGCACAUUACAUCUUUUUCCAUGUUGUACAGAUUAAUUUCACUAUCUCUCAAAAGCGUUUGCAUCAUGACCUUACAUAUUUCCAUCCCUUUUAUGCUGGAUUCAAUUUAAAGAAGACAUUAUUAGAACAGGAAGUACAAGCAUUUAAAACUAUGUAGUUCCCAUUUAUUCAGGGUCUCUGUAUCAGGCUAACUCAGAUGUUUUGAAAGCUUUUUCUUUAAACAGAGUAGGUGAAGUAUCUGUGGCUAAAAAGUUUGGGAUUUGUGAUAACUUUGUAGUUAUGUAAAACUUAAGUGCUUGGUGCCUCUCCACAUGUGGUUAUCUAAUAAAUGGAGAAGUGAGCCAAAUAAAAGUAGUACUUUGUUUUUAAUUAGUGAC
Molecule: long non-coding RNA, 895 nt
Organism: Mesoplodon densirostris (Blainville's beaked whale)
Lineage: Eukaryota; Metazoa; Chordata; Mammalia; Artiodactyla; Ziphiidae
Exons: 4
Source: RefSeq, a predicted model, not a curated record